GAUGAAGAACGCAGCGAAAUGCGAUAAGUAAUGUGAAUUGCAGAAUUCAGUGAAUCAUCGAAUCUUUGAACGCACAUUGCGCCCCCUGGUAUUCCGGGGGGCAUGCCUGUUCGAGCGUCAUUUCACCACUCAAGCCUCGCUUGGUAUUGGGCAACGCGGUCCGCCGCGUGCCUCAAAUCGACCGGCUGGGUCUUCUGUCCCCUAAGCGUUGUGGAAACUAUUCGCUAAGGGGUGUUCGGGAGGCUACGCCGUAAAACAACCCCAUUUCUAAGGUUGACCUCGGAUCAGGUAGGGAUACCCGCUGAACUUAAGCAUAUCAAUAAGCGGAGGA
RNAcentral lists this unclassified non-coding RNA (331 nucleotides) under soil metagenome. RNAcentral's name for it is "partial contains 5.8S ribosomal RNA, internal transcribed spacer 2, and large subunit ribosomal RNA". The stretch from base 1 to 120 matches the Rfam family "5.8S ribosomal RNA", at positions 35 to 154 of the family's 154-position model. The record is from RNAcentral.